This 85-nucleotide transfer RNA is filed under the name Felis catus (domestic cat). It matches the Rfam family "tRNA". Rfam says of the family: Transfer RNA (tRNA) molecules are approximately 80 nucleotides in length. Their secondary structure includes four short double-helical elements and three loops (D, anti-codon, and T loops). The record is from Rfam by way of RNAcentral. Lineage: Eukaryota; Metazoa; Chordata; Mammalia; Carnivora; Felidae.
GCCCGGGGGGCUCAGUCGGUUGAGCGUCCGACUUCGGCUCAGGUCAUGAUCUCACGGUUUGUGGGUUCGAGCCCCGCGUCGGGCU